GGCCUAACACAUGCAAGUCGAACGAAGUGCCUUCGGGUGCUUAGUGGCGCACGGGUGCGUAACGCGUGGGAAUCUACCCCUUGGUUCGGAAUAACAGUUGGAAACGACUGCUAAUACCGGAUGAUGACGUAAGUCCAAAGAUUUAUCGCCGAGGGAUGAGCCCGCGUAGGAUUAGGUAGUUGGUGUGGUAAAGGCGCACCAAGCCGACGAUCCUUAGCUGGUCUGAGAGGAUGAUCAGCCACACUGGGACUGAUACACGGCCCAGACUCCUACGGGAGGCAGCAGUGGGGAAUAUUGGACAAUGGGCGCAAGCCUGAUCCAGCAAUGCCGCGUGAGUGAUGAAGGCCUUAGGGUUGUAAAGCUCUUUUACCCGGGAUGAUAAUGACAGUACCGGGAGAAUAAGCUCCGGCUAACUCCGUGCCAGCAGCCGCGGUAAUACGGAGGGAGCUAGCGUUAUUCGGAAUUACUGGGCGUAAAGCGCACGUAGGCGGCUUUGUAAGUAAGAGGUGAAAGCCCAGAGCUCAACUCUGGAAUUGCCUUUUAGACUGCAUCGCUUGAAUCAUGGAGAGGUCAGUGGAAUUCCGAGUGUAGAGGUGAAAUUCGUAUAUAUUCGGAAGAACACCAAUGGCGAAGGCGGCUGACUGGACAUGUAUUGACGCUGAGGUGCGAAAGCGUGAGGAGCAAACAGGAUUACAUACCCUGGUAGUCCACGCCGUACACGAUGAUAACUAGCUGUCCGAGGACUUGGUCUUUGGGUGGCGCAGCUAACGCAUUAAGUUAUCCGCCUGGGGAGUACGGACGCUAGGUUAAAACUCAGAUGAAUUGACGGCGGCCUGCACAAGCGGUGGAGCAUGUGG
This 857-nucleotide ribosomal RNA is filed under the name uncultured Sphingomonas sp. RNAcentral's name for it is "bacterial SSU rRNA". It matches the Rfam family "Bacterial small subunit ribosomal RNA", at positions 45 to 944 of the family's 1533-position model. Lineage: Bacteria; Pseudomonadati; Pseudomonadota; Alphaproteobacteria; Sphingomonadales; Sphingomonadaceae. The record is from RNAcentral.